AAGUCGUAACAAGGUCUCCGUUGGUGAACCAGCGGAGGGAUCAUUACAGAGUUGCAAAACUCCCUAAACCAUUGUGAACGUUACCUUUAUCGUUGCUUCGGCGGGUGGCGCCCAGCGCCCCCAAGGCCCCCCCGCGGGGCGCCCGCCGGAGGAAACCUAACUCUUGACAACUGUAUGGCCUCUCUGAGUAACUAUACUUAAUAAGUUAAAACUUUCAACAACGGAUCUCUUGGUUCUG
This 238-nucleotide unclassified non-coding RNA is filed under the name Ascomycota sp. RNAcentral's name for it is "partial contains small subunit ribosomal RNA, internal transcribed spacer 1, and 5.8S ribosomal RNA". The stretch from base 1 to 46 matches the Rfam family "Eukaryotic small subunit ribosomal RNA", at positions 1786 to 1831 of the family's 1831-position model. Lineage: Eukaryota; Fungi; Ascomycota. The record is from RNAcentral. RNAcentral also lists the same sequence under 3 other names.